Molecule: ribosomal RNA, 429 nt
Filed under: uncultured archaeon
Lineage: Archaea
Description: bacterial SSU rRNA
Rfam family: Archaeal small subunit ribosomal RNA
Source: RNAcentral
UACCCGCAGCCCAAGUGGCGAUCGCUAUUAUUGGGCCUAAAACGUCCGUAGCCGGUUCUAUAAAUGCCUGGGUAAAUCGUACGGCUUAACCGUACGAAUUCCGGGUAGACUGUUCAACUUGGGACCGGGAUAGGCUAGAGGUACUCCUGGGGUAGAGGUGAAAUUCUGUAAUCCUAGGGGGGACCACCAGUGGCGAAGGCGUCUAGCUAGAACGGGUCUGACGGUGAGGGACGAAGCCUUGGGGAGCAAACGGGAUUAGAUACCCCGGUAGUCCAGGGUGUAAACGCUGCUCGCUUGAUGUUAGUCGGGCUCCGAGCCCAACUAGUGUCGGAGAGAAGUUGUUAAGCGAGCUGCCUGGGAAGUACGGUCGCAAGACUGAAACUUAAGGAAUUGGCGGGGGAGCACCGCAACGGGUGGAGCGUGCGGUUU